CCUACGGGAGGCAGCAGUGAGGAAUAUUGGUCAAUGGACGAGAGUCUGAACCAGCCAAGUAGCGUGAAGGAUGACUGCCCUAUGGGUUGUAAACUUCUUUUAUAAAGGAAUAAAACGAGGCACGUGUGCCUUUUUGCAUGUACUUUAUGAAUAAGGAUCGGCUAACUCCGUGCCACCAGCCGCGGUAAUACGGAGGAUCCGAGCGUUAUCCGGAUUUAUUGGGUUUAAAGGGAGCGUAGAUGGGUUGUUAAGUCAGUUGUGAAAGUUUGCGGCUCAACCGUAAAAUUGCAAUUGAUACUGGCAGUCUUGAGUACAGUUGAGGUAGGCGGAAUUCGUGGUGUAGCGGUGAAAUGCUUAGAUAUCACGAAGAACCCCGAUUGCGAAGGCAGCUUACUAAGCUGUGACUGACAUUGAUGCUCGAAAGUGUGGGUAGCAAACAGGAUUAGAUACCCGUGUAGUC
Molecule: ribosomal RNA, 460 nt
Filed under: uncultured bacterium
Lineage: Bacteria
Description: partial 16S ribosomal RNA
Rfam family: Bacterial small subunit ribosomal RNA
Source: RNAcentral